GCAAAAUGGCAGAGGCUGGUUUUCCUAGUAAGCCAAGGAUGGGAAAAGUAUGCACCGGUGUUGUAGGUGAUACUUUCAAUUCUGAUAAGGACUUGGUAAGACAGCUCACUGGCCGAGGAGACUGUACUGAAGUGUCACUAGAGGAGAGUGAUGUCAUCAUAAUGGUCUGUCCUAUAUUCAGUGACUUUGGAACUCUGGACCUUGAUAUACAACUGGAGGUGGUCUCAAAACACCUAGCUGGUAAACCUGUUGUUCUGGUGGUGCUGCAUCAUGACACUUUCGACCCAGACUCCACUAUACCUGACAGCAGCAGACUAGUGACCAGGGGUGAGGUAAUACUCACAGUGGACUGUCUAUUUAAUCACAGAGGACUGCUGGACUGUCCUCGCAAUAAAGAAGCAGUCGAUAUGAUUCUGAAGAGGCUAAACGUACAACCAAAGGUAUAG
Molecule: long non-coding RNA, 446 nt
Filed under: Salmo trutta (river trout)
Lineage: Eukaryota; Metazoa; Chordata; Actinopteri; Salmoniformes; Salmonidae
Description: lncRNA (ENSSTUG00000014232.1)
Source: RNAcentral